RNAcentral lists this non-coding RNA (33 nucleotides) under Akashiwo sanguinea. The record is from RNAcentral. Lineage: Eukaryota; Dinophyceae; Gymnodiniales; Gymnodiniaceae.
UGAGCAAGAAAAAAAAAAAAAAAAAAAAAAAAA